AUACCUUUCUCGGCCUUUUGGCUAAGAUCAAGUGUAGUAUCUGUUCUUAUCAGUUUAAUAUCUGAUAUGUGGUCUAUCGGGCCACACGAUAUUAACUCUAUUUUUUUAAGGGAGAAGACUCAUUAAGAUAGCUUGCUAUCUGGGCCUUCAUGAGUUGUCCAUGCGUUGCACUUCUGCAAGGGCCUGGCUCAACCCGU
Molecule: small nuclear RNA, 197 nt
Filed under: Brassica napus (rape)
Lineage: Eukaryota; Viridiplantae; Streptophyta; Magnoliopsida; Brassicales; Brassicaceae
Also listed under: 1 other name
Description: snRNA U2
Rfam family: U2 spliceosomal RNA
About the family: U2 is a small nuclear RNA (snRNA) component of the spliceosome (involved in pre-mRNA splicing).
Source: Rfam by way of RNAcentral